AUAUCCAGAGCAUGGGACCAGGAGCUGGACUCACGGUGGGAUCUCUGAUCAGUCACAGAAGGAGCUUGACGAGCUCAUGGGGUCUCUCUCCCUAGGUGGAGAAGACAGGGCUCCAAAUGGACUUCCAGUCCCAUCCACGUCACAGAGGCAAAUUGUCAGAGACAAAGACCUAAGCCGGUCCUUUUCCAGGAGUAAAUGACCAUCGUGCGCCCAUGGGAAGAGUGCUGCAUCCACGGAGGACAUGGGCCAACAGUGCUCUCAAAUGGGUUUCAUGAAAGCAUCUGUGACUCAUCCCUGUUCAAGAAUGUUUUCAUUACGAUUCAGCAGAAGCGAUGUGCCAGGUCAGCAAAUACAACUGCAAAACCGGGGCCUGCCAGCCUGGCCAACACAGCAAGACCCCGUCUCUACUAAAAAGUAAAAUUAAAAUUAGCUGAGUA
Molecule: long non-coding RNA, 437 nt
Filed under: Homo sapiens (human)
Lineage: Eukaryota; Metazoa; Chordata; Mammalia; Primates; Hominidae
Description: HSALNT0332129
Source: RNAcentral